GUUGUAGCUCAGUGGUAGAGCAUUUGCUUGUCAUGCACAAGGCCCUGGGUUCAAUCCCCAGGACAACA
This 68-nucleotide transfer RNA is filed under the name Cricetulus griseus (Chinese hamster). It matches the Rfam family "tRNA". Rfam says of the family: Transfer RNA (tRNA) molecules are approximately 80 nucleotides in length. Their secondary structure includes four short double-helical elements and three loops (D, anti-codon, and T loops). The record is from Rfam by way of RNAcentral. Lineage: Eukaryota; Metazoa; Chordata; Mammalia; Rodentia; Cricetidae.